RNAcentral lists this small nuclear RNA (239 nucleotides) under Microcebus murinus (gray mouse lemur). Its description in RNAcentral is "7SK RNA (ENSMICG00000025064.3)". It matches the Rfam family "7SK RNA". From Rfam's summary of the family: 7SK was discovered as an abundant small nuclear RNA in the mid-70s but a possible function has only recently been suggested. Two independent studies have found that 7SK RNA binds the CDK9/cyclin T complex (known as elongation factor P-TEFb). P-TEFb activates transcription by phosphorylating the C-terminal domain of RNA polymerase II. The record is from Rfam by way of RNAcentral. Lineage: Eukaryota; Metazoa; Chordata; Mammalia; Primates; Cheirogaleidae.
UGCUGUAAGGGAGAUUUGACAGUGAAAUCUGUUACUCCAUUGAUUUACCAGAGUUGAUUUAGUUGAUCAUGAUUAGAUGAAUAUGAUCUUCCUCCUAUCUCCUCUUUCUUCCCCAUGUGCAUCUCCAACAAAGUGGGUCUGUCUUUAGGUUAAGUGGCUAUGUUUCCUAAUGGUAUUGGCAUUAGCACUAUAGGACUUGAUUCACCACUAACAAAUGUGAUAUGAGCAUGUCUGUAUAG